This 29-nucleotide non-coding RNA is filed under the name Cricetulus griseus (Chinese hamster). Lineage: Eukaryota; Metazoa; Chordata; Mammalia; Rodentia; Cricetidae. The record is from RNAcentral.
ACCCAUUAAGUGCUGGGACUGUGACUGUC